UACGGGGGGAGCAAGCGUUGUUCGGAUUUACUGGGCGUAAAGGGCGCGUAGGCGGCCAGCGCAAGUCAGUUGUGAAAUCUCCGGGCUUAACUCGGAACGGUCAACUGAUACUGCGCGGCUAGAGUGCAGAAGGGGCAACUGGAAUUCUCGGUGUAGCGGUGAAAUGCGUAGAUAUCGAGAGGAACACCUGCGGCGAAGGCGGGUUGCUGGGCUGACACUGACGCUGAUGCGCGAAAGCUAGGGGAGCGAACGGG
RNAcentral lists this ribosomal RNA (254 nucleotides) under uncultured bacterium. RNAcentral's name for it is "partial 16S ribosomal RNA". It matches the Rfam family "Bacterial small subunit ribosomal RNA", at positions 524 to 776 of the family's 1533-position model. The record is from RNAcentral.